UACGUAGGGUGCAAGCGUUGUCCGGAUUUAUUGGGUUUAAAGGGUGCGUAGGCGGCCUGUUAAGUCAGUGGUGAAAUCCAACAGCUCAACUGUUGAUGUGCCAAUGAUACUGAUGGGCUUGAGUACAGACGAGGUAGGCGGAAUUGACAGUGUAGCGGUGAAAUGCAUAGAUAUUGUCAAGAACACCGAUAGCGAAGGCAGCUUGCUAGCCUGUAACUGACGCUGAGGCACGAAAGUGUGGGGAUCAAACAGG
This 253-nucleotide ribosomal RNA is filed under the name uncultured bacterium. Its description in RNAcentral is "partial 16S ribosomal RNA". It matches the Rfam family "Bacterial small subunit ribosomal RNA", at positions 524 to 776 of the family's 1533-position model. The record is from RNAcentral.